CAAGUCGAACGAGAAACUUGGGCAACUGGGUGAGUAAAGUGGCGCACGGGUGAGUAACGCGUGGGUAACCUACCCUUGAAUUGGGGAUAACUCCGCGAAAGCGGGGCUAAUACCGAAUAAUGUUUCGAGGUCUUCGGGCCUUGAAAACAAAGAUGGCCUCUGCAUGCAAGCUAUCGUUUAAGGAUGGGCCCGCGUACCAUUAGCUUGUUGGUGGGGUAAUGGCCCACCAAGGCUACGAUGGUUAGCUGGUCUGAGAGGAUGAUCAGCCACACUGGAACUGAGACACGGUCCAGACUCCUACGGGAGGCAGCAGUGGGGAAUCUUGCGCAAUGGGGGAAACCCUGACGCAGCAACGCCGCGUGGGUGAUGAAGGCCUUCGGGUCGUAAAGCCCUGUCAGGUGGGAAGAACCUUGUUGAUGCCAAUACCAUCAACACUUGACGGUACCACCGGAGGAAGCACCGGCUAACUCCGUGCCAGCAGCCGCGGU
Molecule: ribosomal RNA, 488 nt
Filed under: uncultured bacterium
Lineage: Bacteria
Description: bacterial SSU rRNA
Rfam family: Bacterial small subunit ribosomal RNA
Source: RNAcentral